CCUACGGGUGACAGCAGUGAGGAAUAUUGGUCAAUGGUCGGGAGACUGAACCAGCCAAGCCGCGUGAGGGAUGAAGGUACAGAGUAUCGUAAACCUCUUUUGUCAGGGAACAAAGGCGGGGACGUGUCCCCGGAUGAGUGUACCUGAAGAAAAAGCAUCGGCUAACUCCGUGCCACCAGCCGCGGUAAUACGGAGGAUGCGAGCGUUAUCCGGAUUUAUUGGGUUUAAGGGGUGCGCAGGCGGUCUGUUAAGUCAGCGGUAAAAGCCCGGGGCUCACCCCCGGCCCGCCGUUGAAACUGGCAGUCUCGAGUUGGAGAGAAGUAUGCGGAAUGCGCGGUGUAGCGGUGAAAUGCAUAGAUAUCGCGCAGAACUCCGAUUGCGAAGGCAGCAUGCCGGCUCCACACUGACGCUGAGGCACGAAAGCGUGGGUAUCGAACAGGAUUAGAUACCCGAGUAGUC
Molecule: ribosomal RNA, 459 nt
Filed under: uncultured bacterium
Lineage: Bacteria
Description: partial 16S ribosomal RNA
Rfam family: Bacterial small subunit ribosomal RNA
Source: RNAcentral